GAUGAAGAACGUAGCGAAAUGCGAUACGUAGUGUGAAUUGCAGAAUUCAGUGAAUCAUCGAAUCUUUGAACGCACAUUGCACCUCUCGGUAUUCCGGGAGGUAUGCCUGUUCGAGCGUCAUUUGUACCCUCAAGCUCUGCUUGGUGCUGGGUGUUUGUUCCGCCUCUGUGUGUGAACUCGCCUCAAAACAAUUGGCAGCCGGCGUACUUGUUUCGGAGCGCAGCACAUUUUGCGAUCCAGAUCAACGUACAGCGGCAUCCAAGAAGCCUUAUUUAACGCUCUUGACCUCGGAUCAGGUAGGGAUACCCGCUGAACUUAAGCAUAUCAAUAAGCGGAGGA
This 339-nucleotide unclassified non-coding RNA is filed under the name soil metagenome. RNAcentral's name for it is "partial contains 5.8S ribosomal RNA, internal transcribed spacer 2, and large subunit ribosomal RNA". The stretch from base 1 to 120 matches the Rfam family "5.8S ribosomal RNA", at positions 35 to 154 of the family's 154-position model. The record is from RNAcentral.